Molecule: unclassified non-coding RNA, 732 nt
Filed under: Centaurea pubescens
Lineage: Eukaryota; Viridiplantae; Streptophyta; Magnoliopsida; Asterales; Asteraceae
Description: partial external transcribed spacer
Source: RNAcentral
UGGGCAUCACCUCUUGCUUGUYUAGAUCAGCCCGGACGUUGGCAUGUGUAGCGUAUUUUGUCGGGUUUCGAGAUCAAGAAUCGAUGUCCCUUUGUUGGUUGGUUUUCCGAGAAUCCUUGACCCUCGAUUUGUUACUUUCGCAUCGUUUGGUGCAUGUUUUCCGAGAAUCCUUGACCCUUGAUUUGUUGCUUUCGCAUCGUUUGGUGCAUGUUUUCCGAGAAUCCUUGACCCUUGAUUUGUUACUUUCGCAUCGUUCGGUGCAUUCUGGGGGAUGUUUUGGCUUUUGGUGGCUUACUUGGCCUUUUGGCUGGGUUUGUUGCUAUUGGUCGGGCGGCUUUCGGGAAUGUCGACCGUGGAGGUGCAUGAGUGGUGUUUGGUUUGUUACGUGUGGAUGGCUGUUUGCUUGCGCAACAACGUUCACGCUGCAUACCUCUUCAGUUUUGCGGCAAGGCUUGGUUUGGCUUGUGCAUAUUGUGGGUUUCCUGUGUUGCAUACCUAGUUGAAAGAAAAGUGUGGGUUUUACGAUUUUCAUUUUCGUCUUGCGUCGUUCUUUCGGCAUGGGAUGAGCAAUGAAGCGAUCUUUAUGAUCCAUCGUGCUGUUGUGUUUGCAACAAUGAUGUGGCCUAUGAAGCAUCGUUUGGUCUCUUGUAUACGGAAGCUCAUUUGGGCUUGGGUCUUUAUAAGAUCUUUGUUAUGCCCUUGUUAAGCGUUCUCGCUUCUCCUAAACGAUUG